This 253-nucleotide ribosomal RNA is filed under the name uncultured bacterium. RNAcentral's name for it is "partial 16S ribosomal RNA". It matches the Rfam family "Bacterial small subunit ribosomal RNA", at positions 524 to 776 of the family's 1533-position model. The record is from RNAcentral.
UACGGGGGGGGCAAGCGUUGUUCGGAAUUACUGGGCGUAAAGGGCUCGUAGGCGGCCAACUAAGUCAGACGUGAAAUCCCUCGGCUUAACCGGGGAACUGCGUCUGAUACUGGAUGGCUUGAGUCCGGGAGAGGGAUGCGGAAUUCCAGGUGUAGCGGUGAAAUGCGUAGAUAUCUGGAGGAACACCGGUGGCGAAGGCGACAUCCUGGACCGGUACUGACGCUGAGGAGCGAAAGCCAGGGGAGCAAACGGG